ACUACUAGGACUGCUCAGAGUAAAAAAAGAGCCAACUUAUCCACCCUAGAACACGAUUUUAUGGGAUCACAGUGGAUAGAUCUUCAGUUGAGGGAUUAGGCUGGACACAGUGUAAAGUAGACAGGACAGCAGGGAGGUACAGGUUACAUCCCCGAAGAUCUGGAAAGAGGAGAGG
Molecule: long non-coding RNA, 175 nt
Organism: Notolabrus celidotus (New Zealand spotty)
Lineage: Eukaryota; Metazoa; Chordata; Actinopteri; Labriformes; Labridae
Exons: 3
Source: RefSeq, a predicted model, not a curated record